AGGACGAACGCUGGCGGCGUGUCUAACACAUGCAAGUCGAACGAGGUCCAACCGGUGGCAACACUGGUGAAGACCGAGUGGCGAACGGGUGAGUAACACGUGAGCAACCUGCCCCUGGCUCUGGGAUAGCCUCCGGAAACGGGGAUUAAUACCGGACAUUCUCCGCCUUCCGCAUGGUUGGCGGUGGAAAGUUUUUUCGGCCGGGGAGGGGCUCGCGGCCUAUCAGCUUGUUGGCGGGGUAACGGCCCACCAAGGCGACGACGGGUA
Molecule: ribosomal RNA, 267 nt
Filed under: uncultured bacterium
Lineage: Bacteria
Description: partial small subunit ribosomal RNA
Rfam family: Bacterial small subunit ribosomal RNA
Source: RNAcentral